CAGGAAGACACGGAAAUCUGGAACUUCAAUAAUGUACGGAGCUGAAGGAUGACCCCUCCUGUUCACUGGGGCUUCACCGGCCAUGCCAUUCCUGUCUCUAAGCUUACACGUCUGACAGAAGACAUGACGUCUGGGACACAUCGACUCUAUCUUCAGGCUGGUAUGACAGCUGUACAUCCUCAGACCGGAAAGCCCUUCGGUGGGUAGUCAAAAUUGCCCAUUGAAUCGCUGGACAGUCAUCCUAAACAGCCAUCUUCAGAUCAUCAGGGACUCCAUCCACCCCAGCUGUCUGUUUUUUACACUGCCAUCUGGAAAACAGAACAGACAUACAUGGACCACAAAGGCUCAGGUACAAUUAUUUCUUUUGCGCUCUUGCAUAAGCCAAACUUUGAUCUCUUCCCAAUUACCAUUUGACUUACUCCAACAACUCCUUUAAAAAGCCUAAUUUACACAUCA
Misgurnus anguillicaudatus (oriental weatherfish) is the source of this 456-nucleotide non-coding RNA. The record is from RefSeq and is a predicted model, not a curated record. Lineage: Eukaryota; Metazoa; Chordata; Actinopteri; Cypriniformes; Cobitidae.